CACCUCUGCCUUUGGGUUCUUGAUGAACUUCCAACGGCUCAGUGCCUCCUUUGCUCACUCGGGCAUCCUCUGCACGUCCAGCACAGGUCCCCGGGGUCUUCAAAGAGGUUUUCAAGCGUGUAGAAAAAAAUACAGCCCGGUGGCUGGGAUGAAGCACGUGACAACCUUGUGAGAUGAGGAAGGAACUGACUUCCCUCGGCCCUGAUGGGGACACAGGAGCCCUGGGAGCUGACAGCAUUUGUCCAAGGCAGCUGAGUGGGGCAGCCGAGGAUCUCAUCCACUCCCCCAAUUCUGCUGCUGCCAGGAAACAGCACCCAAGGAUCCAGGAUCAGCCUCCAUCCCACCCUCCUCUUGGCAAGGAUCCAGGAUCAGCCUCUAUCCCACCCUCCUCUUGGCAAGUAUCCAGGAUCAGCCUCCAUCCCACCCUCCUCUUNGGGGAAAAAAAAAAAAAAAAAAAAAAAAAAAAAGUGUGAUCAAAUCAGAAAGAGACCCAGGGGUCUCGUCCCAGUGUCUCAGGAGCGCUAACAAAGUCGAAAGCUCUGGUUCCACAAUGCUGUUCAAGCUGGCCUUGGCCUCCAGUGCCCCCUGCACGAGUCCCUCUGAUAACUCACAGUGAAUGUUCUUGUGGGACAGGACUCCAACUUGAGGAGCCGGUGCGAAGCUUGCCAAGUGCAACUUUAGUGCUAGAGCAUUGGUUCCAAUCAAGGUCAUACGGCAGAGCAAGCAAGUGAAGGCACCCGGUCAAGUCCAAAGCUGAAGACCCUGGCUCUCCAGUAAGGCUCUGGAAAACCACAGCUGGGGUGAGGGAGUCUCCUCCAGGCGUGAUGACCUCAGGCUUGCCCUCCUCACCUCUUUCCUCACGAGACCAGUCAGAGAUAAGCCAUUUCCUUUCCUGAAGGCUCCCUAGGGGGUGGGUCCCUCUCACCCCCUGCUCUCCCUUGGCUUUCUCUCAUCCAUCCCAGCAAGCCCCCGGGCUGACCUGGGAGGCACAAGGCCACCAACCCUGGCCACCUUCCCCCACUGCCUCCCUGAGGAGGUGUCAUUCUGAUGCACUAGGCUGCUACCAGAGGAUCGGUGGGUCCCAACCCUUGGAAGGAAUCCUCCGUUUAAUCUUUCUCUUUUGGCUGUGGCAAGUGGAAAUUCCUGGGCCAGGGAUCGAACCUGUGCCACAGCUGUGACACAAGCCACAGCAGUGAUAACGCUGGAUUCUUAACCGGCUGAGCUACCAGGGAACUCCCCUCUGUUUAGCCUUGAUGGGUUAGCUGGCCUGAAAGUAUUACCAAGCACCGUAAAACUUUUUAGCCUUCUCUACUAGUGACUGGUUUUUCUUUGCUCUUCCUCAGAGGAGAAUGGGGAUGGAGAGAGACCAAGACAGAAUGUUCCUGCAGUGACCCUGAGAAGGCCUCUGUGCGCAAAUCUUAAUUUAGGAGAAAAGAGGAAUCUCAUCUCAAAGUUCCUUUUUUUUUUUUUUUU
Molecule: long non-coding RNA, 1473 nt
Filed under: Sus scrofa (pig)
Lineage: Eukaryota; Metazoa; Chordata; Mammalia; Artiodactyla; Suidae
Description: lncRNA (ENSSSCG00025073294.1)
Source: RNAcentral